AACGAACGCUGGCGGCAGGCCUAAAACAUGCAAGUCGAACGAACCGCAAGGUUAGUGGCGCACGGGGGAGUAACACGUGGGAAUAUGCCUUUAACUAAGGAACAACGUCGGGAGACUGACGCGAAUACCGUAUAAUGUAUCUGGACCAAAGAUUUAUCGGUGAAAGAUUAGCCCGCGUCUGAUUAGCUAGUUGGUGAGGUAAUGGCUCACCAAGGCGACGAUCAGUAGCUGGUCUGAGAGUAUGAUCAGCCACACUGGAACUGAGACACGGUCCAGACUCCUACGGGAGGCAGCAGUUAGGUAUAUUGGACAAUUGGGGCAACCCUGAUCCCGCCAUGCUGCGUGAGUGACGAAGGCCUUCGGGUUGUAAAGCUCGUUCGGCUGUGAAGAUAAUGACAGUAGCAGAAUAAGAAGCCCCGGCUAAAUUCGUGCCAGCCGCCGCGGUAA
Molecule: ribosomal RNA, 447 nt
Filed under: uncultured bacterium
Lineage: Bacteria
Description: partial 16S ribosomal RNA
Rfam family: Bacterial small subunit ribosomal RNA
Source: RNAcentral